This 76-nucleotide transfer RNA is filed under the name Colletotrichum fructicola Nara gc5. RNAcentral's name for it is "tRNA-Gly for anticodon GCC". It matches the Rfam family "tRNA". Rfam says of the family: Transfer RNA (tRNA) molecules are approximately 80 nucleotides in length. Their secondary structure includes four short double-helical elements and three loops (D, anti-codon, and T loops). Further hydrogen bonds mediate the characteristic L-shaped molecular structure. tRNAs have two regions of fundamental functional importance: the anti-codon, which is responsible for specific mRNA codon recognition, and the 3' end, to which the tRNAs corresponding amino acid is attached (by aminoacyl-tRNA synthetases). tRNAs cope with the degeneracy of the genetic code in two manners: having more than one tRNA (with a specific anti-codon) for a particular amino acid; and 'wobble' base-pairing, i.e. permitting non-standard base-pairing at the 3rd anti-codon position. The record is from RNAcentral. Lineage: Eukaryota; Fungi; Ascomycota; Sordariomycetes; Glomerellales; Glomerellaceae.
GCGCCGAUGGUUUAGUGGUAAAAUUCUCCGUUGCCAUCCCAGCGUCGGGGAGCCGGGGGUAUUCCCCCUCGGCGCA